Molecule: transfer RNA, 57 nt
Filed under: Chattonella subsalsa
Lineage: Eukaryota; Raphidophyceae; Chattonellales; Chattonellaceae
Description: partial tRNA
Source: RNAcentral
CAGUUAGCUUAGUUAGGUAGAGUGUCCGCUUAGAAAGUGGAAAGUUGUGGGUUUGAG